GACGAACGCUGGCGGCGUGCUUAACACAUGCAAGUCGAACGGAAAGGCCCUGCUUUUGUGGGGUGCUCGAGUGGCGAACGGGUGAGUAACACGUGAGUAACCUGCCCUUGACUUUGGGAUAACUUCAGGAAACUGGGGCUAAUACCGGAUAGGAGCUCCUGCUGCAUGGUGGGGGUUGGAAAGUUUCGGCGGGUGGGGAUGGACUCGCGGCUUAUCAGCUUGUUGGUGGGGUAGUGGCUUACCAAGGCUUCGACGGGUAGCCGGCCUGAGAGGGUGACCGGCCACAUUGGGACGGAGAUACGGCCCAGACUCCUAGGGGAGGCAGCGGUGGGAAAUAUGGAAAAAUGGGCGGAAGCCGAAUGCAGGACGGCGGGGUGCGGGAUGCCGGCCUUCGGGUGGAAACCCGCUUCCGCCGGGGACGAGCCGUUUGUGACGGUAAUGGGUAAAGAAGCACCGGCUAACUACGUG
Molecule: ribosomal RNA, 468 nt
Filed under: uncultured bacterium
Lineage: Bacteria
Description: partial 16S ribosomal RNA
Rfam family: Bacterial small subunit ribosomal RNA
Source: RNAcentral